Non-coding RNA from Phascolarctos cinereus (koala), 560 nucleotides. NCBI's taxonomy places the organism in Eukaryota, Metazoa, Chordata, Mammalia, Diprotodontia, Phascolarctidae. The record is from RefSeq and is a predicted model, not a curated record.
AUUAGAAGGGCCCCAGACUCCUCCAACAGACAAGCCACUUUUGCUAUGAAUUGUAAAUCUGUGUACUUUCUCUCGACUUUUGCAGGAGAGCUCAUUUGCAAGUGUCUCUUUGUUUUUAUGCAUCUGAGUGGGGAUGGAGAGACCUCAUAUCCUAAUAAGAUAAAAUCACCAGUGUGAUCAGUGUAAUGCAAUUUCAAAAACAGCAAAAGUGUGAUCCUUCCCAGAGUUCCUUAUAAUGGAAUUUGUUCAAAGAAGAUGGAUUUUAUGGUUAAUUUCUUCGAGGUACUUACAGAAUCAUUGAGAGGAAUCAAUGAGGGUGUUCCAUGAGGAUAGUAAUUCUCUUCUACCAGCUGAAGCCAUACUAACAAGUACAGUACACCUACGAUCUGCCCCACAUCUCCCUUGAGUCAGCCUUGUGAACAAGCAGAUCAGGUCACUGAGAGUUGUGACUUGCCAGGGAUCAUACAGCAGUGUAUUUCUAAGGUCAUUCAUAACCAACAACAGCAGAUACUAUUGGUAAUCAAGUCCUGUUUGAAAUGGACUUAGUAGGUGGAUCAGGG